RNAcentral lists this ribosomal RNA (429 nucleotides) under Bacteroidota bacterium. Its description in RNAcentral is "Bacteroidetes bacterium partial 16S ribosomal RNA". It matches the Rfam family "Bacterial small subunit ribosomal RNA", at positions 355 to 776 of the family's 1533-position model. The record is from RNAcentral. Lineage: Bacteria; Pseudomonadati; Bacteroidota.
UAGGGAAUCUUCGGCAAUGGGGGGAACCCUGACCGAGCAACGCCGCGCGAGUGAAGAAGGUUUUCGGAUCGUAAAGCUCUGUUGUUAAGGAAGAACGAGUGUGAGAAUGGAAAGUCCAUACUGUGACGGUACUUAACCAGAAAGGGACGGCUAACUACGUGCCAGCAGCCGCGGUAAUACGUAGGUCCCGAGCGUUGUCCGGAUUUAUUGGGCGUAAAGCGAGCGCAGGCGGUUAGAUAAGUCUGAAGUUAAAGGCAGUGGCUCAACCAUUGUAGGCUUUGGAAACUGUUUAACUUGAGUGCAGAAGGGGAGAGUGGAAUUCCAUGUGUAGCGGUGAAAUGCGUAGAUAUAUGGAGGAACACCGGUGGCGAAAGCGGCUCUCUGGUCUGUAACUGACGCUGAGGCUCGAAAGCGUGGGGAGCGAACAGG